AAGGGGAAGACUCACAUAGAGGCAGCAGUAGAGAAUCUUGUGCAAUAAACGAAAGUAUGACACAGAGAGGACACAUUUAAUUGAGCCCGUCAAAUUAAGUGCCAGCCGACGCGGUUAAACUUAAGGGCUGGUCUUUAUAAGUAAAAAGGCGUAAAGGAUGUGUAGGCCAAGAAACGACCCAAGUAGGUAAAUGGAAUUUUUCUGGAGCGGUAGAAUGUGAGGAUAGAAAAUAGAACCCCUAAGGUAAAAACUAUUUACCACAAGGUAGGCUGAAACAUGAGAGUGUGGGGAGCAAACAGGAUUAGAGACCCUGGUAGUCCACACUGUGAACUUUGAAGAUGAUGCUUAGCAGACCCGAAAGGUAAAUCUUCCGCCUGAGUAGAACGAUCGCAAGAUUAAAAUUCAAAAACUUUGGCUGUUCACUAUUUCGAUUAGAGGAGCGUGUUGUUUAAUUCGAUGGUCCGCGUGUUACCUUACCCCAACUUGAAUCUGUGACCGGUAUUGCAUGGCCGUCGUAAGUUCGUGUAUUAAGCUAGAAGGGACCCAACCCGGGCAUUUGCCCGGAGGAAGUCAGGUCUUAUGAUCCGAAUGUUGGGGGAUUUUAUGCGCUACAUUUUCUUAUAUAAUGGGAAACCUGGAAGGUGAGCCUCUAAAGUAAGAGUUCGGAAGGUCGCUGUAAGACGACUGGAAGUUGGAUUUAAUAGUAAUCGGAAAGUAGGGCGUUCCGGUGAAUUGGUACAAGUGUUAGCACAAAUUGCCCGUCACCUUUACCUAGAAUGGUUAUUCGGACGUCUUCGGGGAUUACGAAUGCCUACGAGGUA
Molecule: ribosomal RNA, 821 nt
Filed under: Isosicyonis striata
Lineage: Eukaryota; Metazoa; Cnidaria; Anthozoa; Actiniaria; Actiniidae
Description: partial 12S ribosomal RNA
Rfam family: Bacterial small subunit ribosomal RNA
Source: RNAcentral